Molecule: ribosomal RNA, 491 nt
Filed under: uncultured Eubacteriales bacterium
Lineage: Bacteria; Bacillati; Bacillota; Clostridia; Eubacteriales
Description: bacterial SSU rRNA
Rfam family: Bacterial small subunit ribosomal RNA
Source: RNAcentral
GAGUUUGAUCCUGGCUCAGGAUAACGCUGGCGGCGCACAUAAGACAUGCAAGUCGAACGGACUUAAUCAAUUUGUUUACAAAUUGAAGCGGUUAGUGGCGGACUGGUGAGUAACACGUAAGCAACCUGCCUGUUAGAGGGGAAUAACAAUGAGAAAUCAUUGCUAAUACCGCAUAUGCCAUAGAUAUCACAUGAUAUUAGUGGGAAAGGAGCAAUCCGCUAACAGAUGGGCUUGCGUCUGAUUAGAUAGUUGGUGGGGUAACGGCCUACCAAGUCAACGAUCAGUAGCCGGACUGAGAGGUUGAACGGCCACAUUGGGACUGAGAUACGGCCCAGACUCCUACGGGAGGCAGCAGUCGGGAAUAUUGCGCAAUGGAGGAAACUCUGACGCAGUGACGCCGCGUAUAGGAAGAAGGUUUUCGGAUUGUAAACUAUUGUCGUUAGGGAAGAAAAAAGACAGUACCUAAGGAGGAAGCUCCGGCUAACUACGUG